This 258-nucleotide ribosomal RNA is filed under the name uncultured bacterium. RNAcentral describes it as "partial 16S ribosomal RNA". It matches the Rfam family "Bacterial small subunit ribosomal RNA", at positions 526 to 779 of the family's 1533-position model. The record is from RNAcentral.
CGUAGGGCGCAAGCGUUGUCCGGAAUUAUUGGGCGUAAAGAGCUCGUAGGCGGUUUGUCGCGUCUGCUGUGAAAGCCCCGGGGGCUUAACCCCGUGGUGUGCAGUGGGUACGGGCAGACUAGAGUGCAGUAGGGGAGACUGGAAUUCCUGGUGUAGCGGUGAAAUAGCGCAGAUAUCAGGAGGAACACCGAUGGCGAAGGCAGGUCUCUGGGCUGUUACUGACGCUGAGGAGCGAAAGCAUGGGGAGCGAACAGGAUU